This 440-nucleotide ribosomal RNA is filed under the name uncultured bacterium. RNAcentral describes it as "partial 16S ribosomal RNA". It matches the Rfam family "Bacterial small subunit ribosomal RNA", at positions 338 to 795 of the family's 1533-position model. The record is from RNAcentral.
CCUACGGGAGGCUGCAGUGGGGAAUAUUGCACAAUGGGGGAAACCCUGAUGCAGCGACGCCGCGUGAGUGAAGAAGUAUCUCGGUACGUAAAGCUCUAUCAGCAGGGAAGAAAAUGACGGUACCUGCCUAAGAAGCCCUGGCGAACUACGGGCCAGCAGCCGCGGUAAUACGGAGGGGGCAAGCGUUAGCCGGAUUUAAUGGGGGGAAAGGGAGCGUAGACGGCAGCACAAGUCUGGAGUGAAAUCCCGGGGCUUAAUCCCGGAAGUGCAUUGGAAACUGGGCGGCUGGAGUGCAGGAGGGGUAAGCGGAAUUCCUAGUGUAGCGGUGAAAUGCGUAGAUAUUAGGAGGAACACCGGUGGCGAAGGCGGCUUACUGGUCUGUAACUGACGUGGAGGCGCGAAAGCGUGGGGAGCAAACAGGAUUAGAUACCCUAGUAGUC